Dialister sp. CAG:588 is the source of this 94-nucleotide regulatory RNA element. It matches the Rfam family "Glycine riboswitch aptamer". Rfam says of the family: This family represents the bacterial glycine riboswitch. Glycine riboswitches usually consist of two metabolite-binding aptamers domains with similar structures in tandem. NCBI's taxonomy places the organism in Bacteria, Bacillati, Bacillota, Negativicutes, Veillonellales, Veillonellaceae. The record is from Rfam.
UGGACACACUCUGGAGAGUCUCUUAAUGAGCGCCGAAGGUGUAAGGGUUAAAUAUUAAUCCAAAUCUCUCAGGCAAAAGGACAGAGAAUAAACA